Neogale vison (American mink) is the source of this 1974-nucleotide long non-coding RNA. NCBI's taxonomy places the organism in Eukaryota, Metazoa, Chordata, Mammalia, Carnivora, Mustelidae. The record is from Ensembl.
GACCGUGACAAGGGCAAGUGAUAAGUACUGAUACAGACCACCCCUUGUCAGAGUAGCAGCCCACGUCCACAAGUGGAUGAGUUAGUGGUUUCCCCCCAUUUUUCAUCCUCAGCAUGGAAAUCCUUCCUCCCAAACCAUGGCAGUGCCAGGGCUUACCCUUAGAAAUGCUAACCACCUAACACCCCCCUCCCCCAGCUCUUUGACCUCACCCUAUCAGCUGUUUCCAAUCUCCAAAUAUAUUUGUAGGCUGAUCUUCAGGUUCCUGAUGCUUCUGUUUUUCUAGCUGAACUAUUCCAGAGUUGAUGCAUUCCACUGCCCGUCCUUGGAUAAUUGGUUUUUCCAUUCACUGGAAAGUAAGAAAAGCACAAACAACAGGUGCUAACUAAAAUCUUUUCUUAGAAUUGUGAUUCAGGAGAACUGGGGAGCUCAGUGCCUGAUAAAUGAAACUAGGUUUCUGGAGUGGACAGAGGAAAAGCACCUUAUGGUGUUUCUGGUUCUAUUUCUCCAAGGCUUUGAAGGUUAUAAUUAGUUGCUGCUGAAUCCCUGUGGCCGUGGCGCCUCACCACUUUAUUUCUGGUCUGCGGCCUUCAGGCAGAGAACAGGUUCUAUCCAGGCAAGGCCUGUGUGUUUUAAUUCGGGCACUUCUGGAGACCGUUGGGACUUUGACUUGAAGACCAUGUUUAUGCAAGUCUGGGGAACAGCGUUCGCCAAGCUGCCCUGGGCGAGGGCUGAUGGUGGCCUGGUGGCGAGAACACCGUGAACCGUCCAGGGUGCCUCCCCCUCUCCAGGCCAUGCUGGAAAUUUCCGUUUUCUUCUUCUGUCAGCGUCUUCAGGACAAAUGUGUACACAAAGGCAAAAUGGCUUUCAAAGGAGGCUCCGUCCUCCUCUCGGGGCUUGGUGCAGACAUCAAAUUGAAGGCCGUUCAGCUGUACCUGAUGCUGGUUCUCAGCAGCCUGGAGAUUAACCUCUUCUAAGGCUCUGAGCUAUUUUUGAGGUAGAGACUGCAACAACAUUAAAGCUAGAACCCAUUAGGAAAUCACUUUCAUCAUCUCUUCUUUUUCCAAAUCAGUGGGUUUUUUUUCCCCCCCUGAUCUCAUGACCCUUUAAUCUCCUUUGUAGCAGAACAAGGAGACUGUUGGUUUGUGUUUGCAUCCAGUGAAGUUAGAAUCUUUGAUAACAGCUUCCGAAGACACCAAGAUAUUAGAGAACCGCAUAGCGAGAUGAAUUUCAUGUCUGGUUGGAUGACUUAGUGCUGAAGGUGCCCUGCUUUCCUUGUGCAGAACCAUCAUUUUUGUUGAUGUUGUGCAAACCGGGCUCAAAAUUUCCAAGAGACACACAGCAGAAAGCCUUUUGUUGCGUUAUUUCUAAAGGCUUGAAGUUUUGAAGGGAAGAGAUUUUGUUUUCCUCUCGGGCUACACAAUGGAGCUUUCAGAGAACCUCUUUUAAAAGGAAUAGCUACAGCCUUUGUGUUGAAGGGUGUGUCUGUUGGCAGGGUCUGCUGAUGCAGACAGACUGGCUGGUGAUUAACAAAGGUCAUUAGACUUUGGAAUCUGGCAAGCAGAGUCGGAUGGUAUGUCUUCUGUGUGUGGAAGGACGACUCCCAAGAAGCCAAGGCAUUCUGGAGGUCCCCCCACAGCCCACCCCCAAAUCCUGCUGUAGAACAGGGUCUGGUCCAGGAUCGUCCUGCCAUCACCAGUCAGCUCUGCUGGGACUAACGAACAAGCUUAUCAAUCAUGGGAUAAAAGAACCUUCGGAGAUCUUGGUGAAUGACAUUUGAGGAGGAGAAAGGUGCUGCUUUUCGGAAAGCAGUACAAACAGUUCAUUCUUUGUUGGGAGCAGAAGAGCAUAGGAGGAGCCCAGCCUGUUCUUCUACUGCUCAUUUCUGAUUGUCAGCCUAGCAGAAUCCCAGAGAAGCCAUGUUGUGCACGGAAGAGAAGCUCCGAGCUAAAAUGGCCGCUCCUGAAGCUCAGAGGA